GGUUAAGCGACUAAGCGUACACGGUGGAUGCCCUGGCAGUCAGAGGCGAUGAAGGACGUGCUAAUCUGCGAUAAGCGUCGGUAAGGUGAUAUGAACCGUUAUAACCGGCGAUUUCCGAAUGGGGAAACCCAGUGUGUUUCGACACACUAUCAUUAACUGAAUCCAUAGGUUAAUGAGGCGAACCGGGGGAACUGAAACAUCUAAGUACCCCGAGGAAAAGAAAUCAACCGAGAUUCCCCCAGUAGCGGCGAGCGAACGGGGAGCAGCCCAGAGCCUGAAUCAGUGUGUGUGUUAGUGGAAGCGUCUGGAAAGGCGCGCGAUACAGGGUGACAGCCCCGUACACAAAAAUGCACAUACUGUGAGCUCGAUGAGUAGGGCGGGACACGUGGUAUCCUGUCUGAAUAUGGGGGGACCAUCCUCCAAGGCUAAAUACUCCUGACUGACCGAUAGUGAACCAGUACCGUGAGGGAAAGGCGAAAAGAACCCCGGCGAGGGGAGUGAAAAAGAACCUGAAACCGUGUACGUACAAGCAGUGGGAGCCUCUUAAUGGGGUGACUGCGUACCUUUUGUAUAAUGGGUCAGCGACUUAUAUUCUGUAGCAAGGUUAACCGAAUAGGGGAGCCGAAGGGAAACCGAGUCUUAACUGGGCGUUAAGUUGCAGGGUAUAGACCCGAAACCCGGUGAUCUAGCCAUGGGCAGGUUGAAGGUUGGGUAACACUAACUGGAGGACCGAACCGACUAAUGUUGAAAAAUUAGCGGAUGACUUGUGGCUGGGGGUGAAAGGCCAAUCAAACCGGGAGAUAGCUGGUUCUCCCCGAAAGCUAUUUAGGUAGCGCCUCGUGAAUUCAUCUCCGGGGGUAGAGCACUGUUUCGGCAAGGGGGUCAUCCCGACUUACCAACCCGAUGCAAACUGCGAAUACCGGAGAAUGUUAUCACGGGAGACACACGGCGGGUGCUAACGUCCGUCGUGAAGAGGGAAACAACCCAGACCGCCAGCUAAGGUCCCAAAGUCAUGGUUAAGUGGGAAACGAUGUGGGAAGGCCCAGACAGCCAGGAUGUUGGCUUAGAAGCAGCCAUCAUUUAAAGAAAGCGUAAUAGCUCACUGGUCGAGUCGGCCUGCGCGGAAGAUGUAACGGGGCUAAACCAUGCACCGAAGCUGCGGCAGCGACACUAUGUGUUGUUGGGUAGGGGAGCGUUCUGUAAGCCUGUGAAGGUGUACUGUGAGGUAUGCUGGAGGUAUCAGAAGUGCGAAUGCUGACAUAAGUAACGAUAAAGCGGGUGAAAAGCCCGCUCGCCGGAAGACCAAGGGUUCCUGUCCAACGUUAAUCGGGGCAGGGUGAGUCGACCCCUAAGGCGAGGCCGAAAGGCGUAGUCGAUGGGAAACAGGUUAAUAUUCCUGUACUUGGUGUUACUGCGAAGGGGGGACGGAGAAGGCUAUGUUGGCCGGGCGACGGUUGUCCCGGUUUAAGCGUGUAGGCUGGUUUUCCAGGCAAAUCCGGAAAAUCAAGGCUGAGGCGUGAUGACGAGGCACUACGGUGCUGAAGCAACAAAUGCCCUGCUUCCAGGAAAAGCCUCUAAGCAUCAGGUAACAUUAAAUCGUACCCCAAACCGACACAGGUGGUCAGGUAGAGAAUACCAAGGCGCUUGAGAGAACUCGGGUGAAGGAACUAGGCAAAAUGGUGCCGUAACUUCGGGAGAAGGCACGCUGAUAUGUAGGUGAAGCGACUUGCUCGUGGAGCUGAAAUCAGUCGAAGAUACCAGCUGGCUGCAACUGUUUAUUAAAAACACAGCACUGUGCAAACACGAAAGUGGACGUAUACGGUGUGACGCCUGCCCGGUGCCGGAAGGUUAAUUGAUGGGGUUAGCGGUAACGCGAAGCUCUUGAUCGAAGCCCCGGUAAACGGCGGCCGUAACUAUAACGGUCCUAAGGUAGCGAAAUUCCUUGUCGGGUAAGUUCCGACCUGCACGAAUGGCGUAAUGAUGGCCAGGCUGUCUCCACCCGAGACUCAGUGAAAUUGAACUCGCUGUGAAGAUGCAGUGUACCCGCGGCAAGACGGAAAGACCCCGUGAACCUUUACUAUAGCUUGACACUGAACAUUGAGCCUUGAUGUGUAGGAUAGGUGGGAGGCUUUGAAGUGUGGACGCCAGUCUGCAUGGAGCCGGCCUUGAAAUACCACCCUUUAAUGUUUGAUGUUCUAACGUUGGCCCCUGACCGGGGUUGCGGACAGUGUCUGGUGGGUAGUUUGACUGGGGCGGUCUCCUCCUAAAGAGUAACGGAGGAGCACGAAGGUUGGCUAAUCCUGGUCGGACAUCAGGAGGUUAGUGCAAUGGCAUAAGCCAGCUUGACUGCGAGCGUGACGGCGCGAGCAGGUGCGAAAGCAGGUCAUAGUGAUCCGGUGGUUCUGAAUGGAAGGGCCAUCGCUCAACGGAUAAAAGGUACUCCGGGGAUAACAGGCUGAUACCGCCCAAGAGUUCAUAUCGACGGCGGUGUUUGGCACCUCGAUGUCGGCUCAUCACAUCCUGGGGCUGAAGUAGGUCCCAAGGGUAUGGCUGUUCGCCAUUUAAAGUGGUACGCGAGCUGGGUUUAGAACGUCGUGAGACAGUUCGGUCCCUAUCUGCCGUGGGCGCUGGAGAACUGAGGGGGGCUGCUCCUAGUACGAGAGGACCGGAGUGGACGCAUCACUGGUGUUCGGGUUGUCAUGCCAAUGGCACUGCCCGGUAGCUAAAUGCGGAAGAGAUAAGUGCUGAAAGCAUCUAAGCACGAAACUUGCCCCGAGAUGAGUUCUCCCUGACUCCUUGAGAGUCCUGAAGGAACGUUGAAGACGACGACGUUGAUAGGCCGGGUGUGUAAGCGCAGCGAUGCGUUGAGCUAACCGGUACUAAUGAACCGUGAGGCUUAACCUU
Molecule: ribosomal RNA, 2904 nt
Filed under: Escherichia coli
Lineage: Bacteria; Pseudomonadati; Pseudomonadota; Gammaproteobacteria; Enterobacterales; Enterobacteriaceae
Description: 23S ribosomal RNA
Rfam family: Bacterial large subunit ribosomal RNA
Source: RNAcentral